AUGGUAGAGGCGAAAGGGCUUGUCUUCCUCUGCUGCCGCUGCUGCUGCUUCCCCUGGGUGACUGGCCAGAGGAGCCAGUGGCUCUCCUGGGUGCCAGAGGGAUGCUCACCCCCUCUGCAACCAAGGAAGGAGCAGGAGCCUCCCUGGCUUGCGCUUCACUAUGAGCUAAAUGCAGCCUUUUCAGAAAGAAUAAAAAAAAAAAAGGGAGGAGAAGCGCCAGCAUGGCCCAGACCAAGAGGCACACGUUGAGCCGGGUAAGUGUCAACCAGGGAGUGACCAGCUAGCUCCCAUGUGCAGGGGAGGUGGCCAGAACCUCGGCAGCUACAGGGUCUCCCAAUGCAAUCUGUUGCAAGAGAAGCAGGCUGUCAGAUGUGGUGGGGCAGCAAAGAGACAGAGAGAGAGAGAGAGAAAGGGAAAAGAGAAAUCAUGUUUUGUCAGCGAGUCCCUCGCCUCCAUGUCUUGUAGGGGAAGAGAGGCUGUGGGCUGGGCUGGUUUGACUGAGUGCCUGUGCUAGCCAAGCCCUUUAGGCUGAGAUUAGCCGCAGCUAUUUCUUGGUAAUUACUGCUGAUAGUGUAAUGAGGUGUUUGCCUGGCCUCUUGUAAUGGUGCAUUUUCCUGUCCCUUUGCUGUCUUCCCAGAGCAGCCACUCCGCCCCUCACACUCAGAAGAAGCUGGAGUGGUUUGCAGGAGGCCUGUAAGGGCCCAGAUGCCUCCUGUAUUGCAGGUAUUUGGGCACCCACGGUACCCUUAUCAGCAGAGCCAGGAUCUGGCCUCCCAAGGGAGCCUUUUCUCUAGAGUGCUGGAGGUCAUUUUGUUGGUGUCAUCCUUCCUUAGCACUUCCCGGGAGAAUGGCUGAGAUUCUCGAUGUUGGCCUAUCUGUUGCUUGAACAAGAGUGUUUUGGGUAGUUUGAGAGGGCUGAGUGGCUGUGGCUGUCUCUCGUAAACCUUGGAAGCAGCUUUCUGAGAUGACCUCUUAAGUUGCCCCUUGAAGGAAGCCCCUGCCCUCUUCUCUUUCUUGCGGCUGCUUCUCACGGUCGCUUUGCUGACAGACAGAC
Molecule: long non-coding RNA, 1054 nt
Filed under: Pogona vitticeps (central bearded dragon)
Lineage: Eukaryota; Metazoa; Chordata; Lepidosauria; Squamata; Agamidae
Description: lncRNA (ENSPVIG00000003616.1)
Source: RNAcentral